UCAGGACGAACGCUGGCGGCGCGCCUAACACAUGCAAGUCGAACGGAGCUUAGAGAGCUUGCUUUUUAAGCUUAGUGGCGAACGGGUGAGUAACGCGUGAGUAACCUGCCCUAGAGUGGGGGACAACAGUUGGAAACGACUGCUAAUACCGCAUAAGCCCACGGUACCGCAUGGCACUGAGGGAAAAGGAUUUAUUCGCUUUAGGAUGGACUCGCGUCCAAUUAGCUAGUUGGUGAGGUAACGGCCCACCAAGGCGACGAUUGGUAGCCGGACUGAGAGGUUGAACGGCCACAUUGGGACUGAGACUCGGCCCAGACUCCUACGGGAGGCAGCAGUGGGGGAUAUUGCACAAUGGGGGAAACCCUGAUGCAGCGACGCCGCGUGAAGGAAGAAGGUUUUCGGAUUGUAAACUCCUGUCGUUAGGGACGAUAAUGACGGUACCUAACAAGAAAGCACCGGCUAACUACGUGCCAGCAGCCGCGGUAAAACGUAGGGUGCAAGCGUUGUCCGGAAUUACUGGGUGUAAAGGGAGCGCAGGCGGGAAGACAAGUUGGAAGUGAAAACCAUGGGCUCAACCCAUGAAUUGCUUUCAAAACUGUUUUUCUUGAGUAGUGCAGAGGUAGAUGGAAUUCCCGGUGUAGCGGUGGAAUGCGUAGAUAUCGGGAGGAACACCAGUGGCGAAGGCGGUCUACUGGGCACCAACUGACGCUGAGGCUCGAAAGCAUGGGUAGCAAACAGGAUUAGAUACCCUGGUAGUCCAUGCCGUAAACGAUGAUUACUAGGUGUUGGGGGAUUGACCCCCUCAGUGCCGCAGUUAACACAAUAAGUAAUCCACCUGGGGAGUACGACCGCAAGGUUGAAACUCAAAGGAAUUGACGG
RNAcentral lists this ribosomal RNA (879 nucleotides) under uncultured bacterium. RNAcentral's name for it is "bacterial SSU rRNA". It matches the Rfam family "Bacterial small subunit ribosomal RNA", at positions 24 to 916 of the family's 1533-position model. The record is from RNAcentral.